This 16795-nucleotide long non-coding RNA is filed under the name Prunus persica (peach). Its description in RNAcentral is "long non-coding RNA (PPER_LNC008447)". The record is from RNAcentral. Lineage: Eukaryota; Viridiplantae; Streptophyta; Magnoliopsida; Rosales; Rosaceae.
CUUUGAAUUCCACUUCAGCAUGGGUGGUCAUGAACCUCUCGGGUUGGAAUUCACCUGGGUUGGCCCACAUGCGUGGGUCCCGCUGUAGUUUCCAAAUGUUGACUAGUACACGAGUGCCCUUGGGCACGUGGUAGCCUGCCAGGUGGCAAUCCUCUGUUGCCUCACGCAGGCCUGUGAGUGGGCCAGGUGGGUAUACGCGUAGGGUUUCUUUGAGAAUGGCUUGGAGGUAUUUGAGGUUAGGGAGGUCUGAUUCUUGUACCCAUCUGUCUCUUCCUACUUGUAUGUCCAGUUCUUGUUGGGCAGCUUUUAGGGUUUUCGGGUUGUUCAGUAGUAGGGAGAGUGCCCAUGUUAGAGUGACGGAUGUGCUUUCUGUGCCAGUUAGGAUUAGAACCUGCCAAAAGCAAUUAAGGAAAACAAUUAAUAUUUGUAUAAUAAUUAAUAUUGUUGCUGAAUAGCUUUAUAUUGUUACACUAAAUUAACCUUACCAGUGCUGUUGAUUUGAUGACAUUAUCAAGGCUAUGGCCAGAAAUCACAUCGUCCUCCUCUUGCAAGCUGGAGAUCAUCACAUCCAUCAAGUCACUUUCAACCCUAUCUAUCUUGCCUUGAGGCCUUGAUCUCUGGCGAUGUUCUUCAAGCCAUUUCCCAAGCACACAGUCAAGUUCCUUGAAACACCUUUUCAUGGAACCCACAUGCCCAAACAAGCUGUCCAGCCACUCAAGCCACGGCAUAGCAUCUGACCAAACAAAAACGCCAAACAGAUACAAAGCCUCCUUCACAGCCUUUUCAAAACGCCAAGCCUCACUGUUUUUCUCAUUAUAUUGCUCAGCUGUGAAUCUCUUCCCAGCAAUCAGCCUCACGUUUAUGUUGAACGUUAAGAACUCAAUUAACUCACUUAAAUGCACUGGCGUGGGGCUCGCGCCAUUCUUCGUGCAAAGUGAGAGCAGAUUUUUGAUGAACAAGUCAACCUUCGAGGUCCUAACGUGGCUUAGCAUUUCGACUCUUUUGGUCGAGAGGAGCUCCAGCGUGGCCAGCUUGCGGACGUGGCGCCAGUAGGGCCCGUAGGGGGCUAGGGCAAAAAGUGCAUUGUCGUAGCCCAAGUGCUUGCCUCCUGCAAUGCUUGCUCGUGUGGCAAAAACUCUAUCGUUUGUUGUGAGACAUUCUUUGACUGUCUCCCAGGCGCUGAGGACCAGCACUUGGUGUUGGCCAAGCUUGAGGGAGAAGAUUGGUCCAUGGUCAUCUGCCAUGGCUCCCAAGGUUAUGGCAACUGGGUCUUUGCUACGUAACAGAGGGAGGUGGCCUAUGAAGGGCCAUGCUCCAGAGGGUUGGGGGACUAAUUUGGUCGUCACAGUCGUCUUUGUGCUGGUGAUCUUCUUCUUAGUGUGAGCUGUGAUUCUCAAGGCAGCAUAUAGAAUAAGCAAAGAUAAAAUUGUUUCAAGAAUUUGGAUUGGGGAAAUUGUAAAAUCCAUGGUGUUGGGGAGAGAGAGAGAGAGAGAGAGAGAGUGUUACAGAUGGGAAUAUGAUUGCGUGUAGGAUAUAGUUCAUUUUGCAAGUGUAUUUAUAGACACAGAUACGUCUCUUUCAAAAACAAAUAAACAAACGCAUUGAGAUACACAAUGGAUGCUCACCACAUCUCAAAUAUAUAGGAUAAUUAGAUAUUUAAUUUUUUUUCUCUUUCCAACAUCUCUGGUUUUCAUUCACUAGAGUGUCGGUUGGAGUUCGAUACUUAAAAAAUAUAUAUAUAUAUAUAUAUAUACUCUACUUAUAAGACAGUAAUGUUUACAAUUUUGAUGCAACAGUGCCGCUGCUAUAAAUCAUAGGACAAACUUACUUGGGCCCAUACCUUCAUAUCUAUGUCUACCAAAUUAAAUGAUUACCCGCUUGCAAACUUUUUCAAACAAAUAAAGUAAAAAUUGAAGGUGAUUCUAAGAGCAUCUCCACCUCAAAAGGCUAAGGUAAGGAUAAGAGCAAAGCAAGGGCAAUAGUGGCAGCUUUGUAAUUUGUGGUUCCACCUCAAAGGGCUAAGGCUAAGGCAAUUACUAUUCAUUGUACUUUAUUUUCUAUUUUUUUAUACUUUCAACUAUUAAUUUUGAUAAUUUUUUGUAAUUAAAUUUCCGGAUAAGAUUUUUAGUUGCCACGUGUCCAUCAUUUUUCAGAAAAGAUUUUCGAAUGAGACUCUCAGUUGCCACGUGUCUUAUUCCAAACAAACUUUUUGGAUAUUCAUUAAAAAAAAAUUAUAAUCUCAGAUUUCAAAUAAGAUUUUCACCCUCUAAAAUUGUGCCACGUGUCCCAUGUCAAAUAAGAUUUUCAGAUAUUUUAAAAAAAAAUUAUAAUCUAAUAUUUUAGAUAAGAUUUUCACCCUCUAAAAUUGUGUCACGUGUCCCAUGUCAGAUAAGAUUUUCAGAUAUUUUAAAAAAAUUAUAAUCUCAUAUUUCAGAUCAGAUUUUCACCCUCUAAAAUUGUGCCACGUGUCAUCUCUAUCUUCUGAAUCCCUCUAUAAAACUACACCAUUAACUUAUACCUCUCACACCAUUUCUUAUCUAUUCAUUCAUUUCUCAGAUUUUACAAAACACAUUCUACUCUUAAUGUCAAACUUGAGGAGGUUGUUGGAGAGGCAACAGAAAGAAGAGGAACAAAUCUGGCGUAGAUGUGCUGAUAAAGAUGAGGAGGCCGAUAAAGAAGAGGAAGACAUGCUUGCAGCAGCGGUGUGUAUGCUUAAUCAAUCAAGGCAACACCGCCGUAGUCGUGCCCCAAAUGUGGACAGACGUAGGGAGUCUCGAGGUAAAAAUCUCUUGGAAGAUUACUUUAUCCCAAAUUCGUUAUAUCAUGUUCAUAAGUUUCGAGAGAGAUAUAAAAUGCAGCCACAUUUGUUCCGAAAAAUCAUGCAUGAUAUUUGUAAUUACGACACAUACUUCAUUCAAAAAUAUGAUACUGUUGGAGUUUUCGGUAUUCUCCCGGAGCAAAAACUUACAGCUACUUUGCAGAUGCUUGCUUAUGGGGCAUCUGCAAAGCAGGUGGAUGAGAUUGCAAGGAUGGGAAAAUCAACUAUCCUAGAGUGCUUGGUGAGAUUCUAUGAUGCAGUGGAAAAUUUGUACACAAGGGAGUACCUUCACAAACCCACGCCAAGGGACCUGCAAAGGCUUCUACAAAAAGCUGAGGCUCGAGGUUUCCCAAGAAUGAUUGGAAGCAUCGAUUGCAUGCACUGGCAGUGGAAGAAUUGUCCUACUACUUGGCAAGGAGACUAUGGGAAUCGGAAGGGCAAAAAAAGUAUAAUUUUGGAGGCCGUAGCUUUAUUCGACUGUUGGGUUUGGCAUGCCUUCUUCGGAAUUGCCGGAUCUUAGAAUGACCUCAAUAUCCUUGGUCAAUCCCCGGUACUCGACGAGGUAUUGUGAGGUCAUGACCCCCAGAUCACCUACCAAGUCAACAAUACCGUAUACUCUGGUACGUACUACUUUGCCGACGGAAUUUAUCCUAGGUGGACAACAUUUGUGAAAACAAUUCCAAAUCCCCAAUCCGAGAAAGAAAAAAGCUUUGCUGCCUUUCAAGAAGGUUACAUGAAAGACGUGGAAAGGUGUUUCGGUAUAUUGCAAGCUCGUUAGGCAAUUAUUAGGGGUGCUGCUUGGAUGCUAGAUGAGGAGGUGCUGCAGAGCAUUAUGCUGACUUGCAUCAUCCUCCACAACAUGAUUGUGGAGGAUGAGUUUGAUUAUGAUGCUUCAGAUGUGUUUGAACCCGAUCCCAUGAACACGGCGUUGACAAGAAUGUAUGAAAGGCCAAUGAGACCAAAUGGACAACCAAUGGAGCCCAAACCGUUACUUCGGGAUGGUCGAUACAACAACCCAAUGAUUGAUUGUUAUCAAGAAAUGCAAUCUUAUAUGUUCACGAGAGACAUCAACUUGACUUGAUCGAGCACUUGUGGGAGAUGAAAGGCAAUCACAGUGGAUGAAGUCAAGAUACAAGCUUUGUUUGGAAUUAUGCUUUAUUUUGUGUGUGGUGUUUUUUGGAAUUAUGCUUUUUUUAUUAUUAUUAUGCUUUUAAGUAUGGUUUGUUUUGUGUGUUGUUUGCAAUAAAUUAAGGUUUGUUUUUAAUUAAUCUUUGUUUUGAUGCUCAAAUGUUUUUAAUAAAUUGUCAUAUUAUUUAAUGCUUUCUUUAUUGAAUAAAAAGGAAACAAUACAACAAAUUAAUACAUAUGGCAAAGGUGUUUCAAUACAACUUAAUGGUUUUCAUCAUUUAACCAAUCCGUAUUGCUAGGUCCAUCGUCAUGGAAAAGUUUUCUUCUCAUCACAUCCCUUCGUCUUAGCUUCCAAUAGGCCUUUGUUUCAGAAGACAUAUGGCUUGUAUCCAUGGCCAUGAUUUUCAUCUCUCUAUCAUCCAUGUCUUUUUCUUUUGCCUGCUGCUGUUGAAUGCAAAUGCUUCCUGUCGUGCCUUGUUCGCUUCAUCUCUUUUUAAGUCUCUCUCAAUUCUUAGUGCAGUGUUCUUAGCUAUUUGCUCCAAUAAUUGUACACAUUCAUUGUUCGAAGUGCUCCCUCUCUUGGCCUUCGCCGCCUUUCUCCCAAUAGGUCUCGACGGAUGUGGAAGUGGUGACUCCGUUUCCAUUGGGAGUCCAAUGGCGAAUCGGUUGUUGACGAAUCGUGGAGCGGCGUCUCAUUUAAUACAACCGGUAGACCUGUGGGAAUAAUGUUGAAUCUCGAAAAAUCCUUCACAACUUCCCAACAUUGGAAAUGCAAGAAACUUUUUUUUCUUUGCCCCAUGGCACCGAACCAAAGUUGUGCUUGUAUGAUCUAUUAAAAAUAAAUAAUUGGAAGUGUAAGAAAAAAAUAUAUAUUAUGCAAGAAAAUAUAAACUAUUUUGAAAUGCAUGAAUAAAAUUGAUUAUGCAAGAAAAUAUAGACAAAUUGGAAAUGCAAAAAGAAAAAAAAAAGAUUAUGCAAGAAAAAGAAAUAUAAUAUGCAAUAAAAAAAAAGCUACAUGAAAUUGAUUUAAAUGGCAAUUAUAAAUAUUUUACCUUAUCGGAUAGAUUUUGACCGCUUCGAAUGUUCUCCCUUGCUUUUGUCAAGGCAUUUCUCCAUUUCCCUAACUCUUUAUUCAGAAUUUUCCAUCUACUAGACAAGGUCAUUUCGGUUCGAAUAGAACCCGAUCUUUGACAAAAUUCUCCCUGAAUUUUGCUCCACAUAUGAGGCAACUUCAUCUCAUUGCCCGAGACAGGGCAAUGACUAACGAUCACCCAAGACUGACACAACGCAAUAUGUUCAUGAGUUGUUCACGCACCUCCAGCUUCGACAGAAGAUGGCAUUUGUUUUUUGAUACAAAUGGAAAGUAGUAGAAAAAUGUGAGUGGAGAGUAAAAAAGAUUGGAAUGAGAAGAGUUUAGAUGAAGAAUUGGUGUGGAAAGUGAAUAAUGUGAGUGGAGAGUAAAAAAUAUUGGAAGGAGAAGAAAUUGUAUGAAGAUUUGGUGUGGAGAGUGAAUAAAAUUGUUAGGUAUUUUUAAGGAAAAAAAUCCAGAAUUUUUGGUUUUUUUUUAAAAAAAAAAUUCAGAAUUUUUUAGCCAAAAAAAGGAGGACCGUCGGAUUUCUAGAAAAAAACUGAUCGGAGAGUCUGGGUUGCGACACGUGGCGCAUGCCCGUUGGAUUCUGUUAGCUCUGACGUCACCUCCCUUGGGCUGAAGCCUAGGCGAAACCUGCCCUUGGGCUUGCCCGAGCCUCUUUUCUCGCGCUGGAGCAGUCUUGGGCUUGCUCGGGGGGCCUCCUGCCGGGUUUGCGUGCAGCACUGGAGCUGCUCUAAGUCAAGUCACCCAUUCAAACUCUACAUCGUCAAGUUUCCAUUACCUGGCCGCUAAUCAAUUAUCCAAUACAUCAAUUGGCUUCUUUGAUAUUUUUUUUGGUUGUGAAAGUUAGGAAGGGGGUGGAAAACUUAUACACAGGUAUUAUGGGGGCUUGAAUUUAGGAUCACUUGGAAGCAUAUCAAGAGCAUAGGCCAAUCCAGCUAACACCCCAUUGAUCUUCUUUAAGACUUUCAAGCAGUUAAAAUUGCACAUAACUUCCCGGAAAUAAAUAUGGUUUUAGAUUUUUUAAGCAAAUUUAGGGUGUAAUCUUCCUAAUAUAUGUCUUUGUCCACGAAUUUAAUGGGGCUCAGUUCUAUUAGAAAGAUCGUCCUAAAAAUGUAAUAAGCGUAGUAUUUUCCUUUAAGAUGUCAUCCUAAUAAUGAUUUCCAACUUUCCAUAAUGAAAUGAAUGCCACUCGUGAAUAUUCAAAUACUCGUUAUUGGCGAUUUUCACACCUCAUAACCCUAACAAAGCCUUCCAUUCCACUGACAGGUGACACAGGUCAUAUAUCAUUCAACAACCAUUACGUACCCAAUUAAUAUUUGACUUCUAAAUUCCUAAUACAUAUCUGGAUGGCUAUGAAUUAAUGGUCGUACCCUUUAGAAUUCAAAGGUUAAACUUGUGGUGUGGAAGAAAACACACAUCAAACACAGAACAAACGUUGUUCGAUCGACCAUGAUUCUUUGUCCUGGGGUGAAAGAUAUUCUACAAAGUUGCCUUCGAUGUAAAGCCUGGUUGAAAAGUAUCAGGCCCUAUGAACAUAUGGACGAGAUUUCGUUGCCAGAUGAUACUUUGAGCAGUUUGUAGAGCAGAGCUUAUUUAGGCCAUUGGGUGGGGACCUUGGUCGAAAACGUUUUCCACGUAUCGAUGGCUUUAGUUUAUGUUAUAACACAUGAAUAAUAAUGUUAAAUUUGUAUACCAAUCAAACUUUGCCGAGGGGUGUAUUUCAGUAAACAAAAGUGUAUUGAUUUGUAGACUAACGAUAUCAAAUUUGAACUCAUUUUUUCGGUAGUUUAAACUAUCAUUUGUAUUUUAUUGUAAGAAAUAAGUUUUAUUAAGAAUCACAAAAGAGAGAGCAAAACAAAAUUGAGGCCACCACAAGAAAACCAAAGGCCGAGCCAUGCUAAAAACCCACUACAUAGAUAAAGUUCACUACAAACAUAAAGCCCACCAAAAAAAAUUUCAUAACUUAUCAACUGUUUGUGCGGGUGUGGAUAAAAUAAGGGAUAGUCUGAAUUGGGUUCAUAUAUUUGUUUCUUGGAAAAAUUGUAGCAAUGGUCUCUUAAAUAAGACCCCAUUUUACUUUUCGUUUCUCAACCCUAAAAAUUAUUAUGAUUAUCCUUCAAUUAGAUCUAUUGUUGCAUCAGUCGUCCUUUUCAUCAGUUCUAAUUGUUUUUCCGUCAAAAAUAAAGGUAAAUUAGAAAAUUCAUAUCAACUUUUAUUAGAUAAAUAAACUCAUUUAUCUAUAUAUAUAAAGCAAAAUGCAGAGAGUGGUAAAAUAUUCAAAAUAUCAGAAAAUACCAUUGGUUAAUGCAAAUAUUAAGAAUUGAAAUUAUUAAUUAAAUGAGGAUAAUAUGGUAAAUUUCCAUCUUUUCAUAUUAAAAAAAUUAAAAGAAAAAGAAAAAUCACAUAAUAGAUCUUAUUUUUAUGGAAUACAUCUACCCAUUAUCUCUUUUAAUUCUAAAAUACAUUUAAACUUUUAAAAAAAAAAAAAAAAAAAAAAAAAGCCUUUCGUAGGUGCAGAAGAGCGUGCGAAAAGACUAGUAAACUUAAAUUCCGAGUGUAGGAUACGUACAAGAAGCCAUUUACAAGAUUAACGUUGUCCUAUCUUUAGCUCCUUACUUAAAAUUCAUAAUGUUACAUAUUGGGCACAAGUGAAUUUAUUAUAUAAAAGUGAACUAUAAUAUUUCCUGCCAACGUUUGAAGCUGCCAACUUCUUCAAAGACAUUAUUUAUAGAGGUGAAGAGGAAGGCGUGGGGAUAGCAAAGCCUCCAGCGGAUUUGCUUUGGGCAGGGCAAGCCCCAGCCCUUCACGCAUGUCCACUGCCUCCUCACCAACCCUACUCAUAUCAAAACCCUGAACCAAACGAGCCAGAAUUAAUUGGACCACUUGCAGCCCCAAAACCAUGCCAGGGCACGACCUCCUGCCUGAGCUGAACGGAAUAUACUCAAAAUUAUUUUGACCUUUGAAUUCCACGUCAGCAUGGGUGGUCAUGAACCUCUCGGGUUGGAAUUCACUUGGGUUGGCCCACAUGCGUGGGUCCCGCUGUAGUUUCCAAAUGUUGACUAGUACACGAGUGCCCUUGGACACGUGGUAGCCUGCCAGGUGGCAAUCCUCCGUGGCUUCACGCAGGCCUGUGAGUGGGCCAGGUGGGUAUACGCGUAGGGUUUCUUUGAGAAUGGCUUGGAGGUAUUUGAGGUUAGGGAGGUCUGAUUCUUGUACCCAUCUGUCUCUUCCUACGUGUAUGUCCAGUUCUUGUUGGGCAGCUUUUAGGGUUUUUGGGUUGUUCAGUAGUAGGGAGAGUGCCCAUGUCAGAGUGACGGAUGUGCUUUCUGUGCCAGUUAGGAUUAGAACCUGCCAAAAGCAAUUAAGGAAAACAAUUAAUAUUUGUAUAAUAAUUAAUAUUGUUGCUGAAUAGCUUUAUAUUGUUACACUAAAUGAAACUUACCAGUGCUGUUGAUUUGAUGACAUUAUCAAGGCUAUGGCCAGAAAUUACAUCCUCCUCCUCUUGCAAGCUGGAGAUCAUCACAUCCAUCAAGUCACUUUCAACCCUCUCUAUCUUGCCUUGAGCACUUGAUCUCUGGCGAUGUUCUUCAAGCCAUUUCCCAAGCACACAGUCAAGUUCCUUAAAACACCUUUUCAUGGAACCCACAUGCCCAAACAAGCUGUCCAGCCACUCAAGCCACGGCAUAGCAUCUGACCAAACAAAAACGCCAAACAGAUACAAAGCCUCCUUCACAGCCUUUUCAAAACGCCAAGCCUCACUGUUUUUCUCAUUAUAUUGCUCAGCUGUAAAUCUCUUCCCAGCAAUCAGCCUCACAUUUAUGUUGAACGUUAAGAACUCAAUUAACUCACUCAAAUGCACUGGCGUGGAGCCCGUUCCAUUCUUCGUGCAAAGUGAGAGCAGAUUUUUGAUGAACAAGUCAACCUCUGAGGUCCUAACGUGGCUCAACGUUUCGACUCUUUUGGUCGAGAGGAGCUCCAGCGUGGCCAGCUUGCGGAUGUGGCGCCAGUAGGGCCCGUAGGGGGCUAGGGAAAAAAGUGCAUUGUCGUAGCCCAAGUACUUGCCUCCUGCAAUGCUUGGUCGUGUGGCAAAAACUCUAUCGUUUGUUGUGAGACAUUCUUUGACUGUGUCCCAGGCGCUGAGGACCAGCACUUGGUGUUGGCCAAGCUUGAGGGAGAAGAUUGGUCCAUGGUCAUCGGCCAUGGCUCCCAGGGUUAGGGCAACUGGGUCUUUGCCACGUAGUAGAGGGAGGUGGCCUAUGAAGGGCCAUGCUCCUGAGGGUUGGGGGACUAAUUUGGUCGUCACAGUCGUCUUUGUGCUGGUGAUUUUCUUCUUAGUGUGAGCUGUGAUUCUCAAGGCAACAUAGAGAAAAAGCAAAGAUAAAAUGGUUCCAAGAAUUUGGAUAUCCAUGGUGGUGGUGGGAGAGAGAGAGAGUGUGUGUGUUACAAAUAUGGGAAUAUAAUUGCGUGUAGGAUUUCAUUUUGCAUGUGUAUUUAUAGACACGGUUUGACAAUGCAAUUUUUAGAAACAAGAUACGUCUCUUUCAAAAACAAACAAACAAAAAAAUUAGGUACGUGUACGUAUCACAUAAUGUUGAAUGCAGCAGCAGGACGAUUCGUAUCACAUGCAUUGAGAUACACAAUGGAUGCUCACCACAUCUCAAAUAUAUAGAAUAAUUAGAUAUUUAAUUUUUUUCUCUUUCCAACAUCUCUGGUCUUCAUUCACUGGAGUGUCGGUUGGAGUUUGAUACUUUAAAAUAUAUAUAUAUAUGCGGGAUAUUUUGACUUUAUAUAUUCGUAUAUACAUUACUACUAAAUUAUGAACAUACAAAUAGGUGUUUGUAGGCUUAUUAAAACUAAAUUAACUAACUGCGAGGUCUAACUUAUUGAAAAUAGGUCUUAAUUUGUAGACUAGUGGUCUCAAUCUCACAUGUUCAAACCCCAAUGAAUUAUGUAAAAAGCCUUUAUUUGUAUAAUGAACUCCUCCCCAUAUCUUUUGUAUUAAAAAAAUAUGUAAAAAUAAAUAUAUUAUUUUGUAGGUAUAUUAAUGUGUCUACCUAUAUGCUCAAGGUCAAUGUCCAUAGAUCUUAUUCAAAAUUGGGGACCUAAUUUUCUUUUUCUUGUUUGCCAUGAUUAUAUAGGAAACUAAUUCCUAGUUCCCAAUUGUUCAUGAAGAUGGAAUUGAUACCCUUUUUUUUCUUUGUACUCUACUUUUAAGUAGAAGUGAUAGUCUAAAUUAUAGGGAGGAGAUUUCACACACACAUAACCAAGAUGUUAUGGGAGUUCGAACCUGAGACCUCAAUACCAUUUUUCAUUAGCUAGGCUGAACCUUGUUCACUUUGUACUCGAGUUACACGACGGUAAUGUUUACUAUUUUGAUGCAUCCAGCUAGCUAGGUAACACUAACAAAUAGUAAAUCAAAAUAAUUUAAAGGUUCUUUUGUAUUAACGACAGUGCUGUUUCCUAUCUCAGGAAAAGCCAUGAGCGGUGUCGGUGCCGGUGCUGUAAAUGAUUGGACCCAGUACAGAGAGCAUUGGCACUGAGAUAUUUGAGGUCCGUGAGGGCAUUGCUGACUGUGAAAAAAAGAAAGACAAACUUACUUGGGCCCUAUAGAGGUCGUCCUCCUAAUAUGAUUUCAAACUUUCCAUGCCACUCGUAAAUAUUCAAAUACUCGUUAUUGGCGAUUUUCACACCUCAUAAACCCUAACAAAACAAAGCCUUCCAUUGCAUUGACAGGUGGCACAGUUCAUAUAUCAUUGAACAACCAUUACGUACCAAAUUAACACGUGACUUCUAAAUUCCUAUAGUAAAUUCUGGGUGGCUAUGAAUUCUAAGGUUAAACGUGUGGAAGAAAAAACACAUGAAUCAAACACAGAAAGAGAUGUUCUACAAGGUUGCUCCUUCGAUGUAAAUCCUGGUUGAAAAGUAUGAGGCCUUUGAAAACAUAUGGACGAGAUUUCGUUGCCAGUUGAAAAAUAUCAGCCACAAACCGAAAUGGAAUCUCAUUGUUAUCUUUACAUAGCAUACUGAUAGUGAUGAUACUUUGAUGUGGGGAUCUUGGUCGAAAACGUUUUCCACGUAUCGAUGGUUUAUGUUAUAACACAUGAAUAAUAAUGUUACACUUGUAUACCAAUCAAACCUUGCCAACGGGGUGUAUUUCAGUGGACAAAAGUGCAUUGAUUUGUAGACCAACAGUAUUAAGUUUGAACCCUCUUUUUUUUUUCCGGUAGUUAGAAACAAGUUUUAUUAAGAAGCACAAAAGAGAGCAAAACAAAAUUGAGGCCACCACAAGAAACCAAUGGCCGAGCCAUGCGAAAAACCCACUACAUAGAUAAAGUUCACUACAAACAUAAAGCCCACAAAAAAAAUAUUCCAUAACUUAUCAACUGUUUGUGCAGGUGGAUAAAAUAAGGGAUAGUCUGAAUUUGGGUUCAUAUAUAUAUAUAUAUAUAUAUAUUUUCAAACGAUGGAAUUUGGGUUCAUAUAUUGGUUUCUUAGUAAAAUUGUAGUAAUUGUUUCUCAAAUAAGACCAUACUUUUCGUUUCUCAACUCCAAAAAUUGUUAUAAACUGUGUAAUGACCCAUACUUUUCGUUCAAUAACUUAUCAACUGUGUAAUGACCCAAACCUAAAAUUCAUAUUUAAUUAGUAAUUUAUUAUGUGGAAAGACAAUUUUGCCCUUAGAAUAAUUUAAUAACGAAAAGUUGAUUUUUUGACCGAAAGAAAUUUGACAAUUUCACAUACACCGUUGCGUAGAGCACCACGACACGAGUUCGUAGACACGAAGUGGACUCGAAUAGGAGUUUUAACAAAGAAAAUACGAUUAAAAUAUCAUGAGGGGUAAAAUGGUAAAUUAAAAAAAUCAGAUUUUUAAAACCUCACUUCUCUAUCUUCUCCCUCAGUUUCCUCUCUCUCUCUCUCUCUCUCUCUCUCUCUCUCUCUCUCUCUCUCUCUCUCUCUCUCUCUCUCUCUCUCUCCCUCCCGCUGUCUUCCUCCAGCCGUCACCUUCCAAGCGCCAGAACUCCCGCCACCGACCACCUCUGCCCCUGCCGUCAGUGCCAACAGGACCAGCUCGGUUCCGUCUUCAAGCCCAGACCACUCUCCGAUACCAGCCACCGCUGUUUUCGCCGGAUUCCGUCCAAAAACGAGCUGGUUUUGCAUAGUUUUGCAACCGUUCGUUCUCCUUCAAUUCUCCUCCAAAUUUGUCGAGUAAGGUAUGGAUUUCUACCUAUUUUCCAUGCUCUAGCUGAUGGUUGGGUAGGUUUGCAUCGAUUUUGACCGUAGCUAGCUCAGUUUUCAAAUUGAAAUUCGACCGAUUUUCGGCCUCCGUGUUCGGCCACUUCCGGUCAGUUUUUGGGUAGAUCCAAGAACAAAAGUGGUUCUAAAUAUAGUGUUAUACAUAGGGUAGGAGUUUGGAGCCGUGAUUUUGAGAUUUUCCGGUGAUGCGUAAUAGCUUUGGACACCCAGCGCUGCCGGCGCGUGGGCGAGGGUGGUGCAGUGACACUACAUCCUGAUGCAAUCCUUAGGUUGUCACGAGCGCGUAGGAAUUCGCGGAUCUCAAUUUGGAUACCGUUUGAGCCUCGAACGAAUUUUCCAUAUUGUGCGAUCUCCGGGUUCAAUACUGUUGAGCCGUUGGAUCGGAAUCAAUUUUAGAUAUGUUACUCUAGAUAAUUUUAAAAACGUGUAGGACUCGACGGAUUGUGAAACGGAGUCCCGGAUACUCCGACAUCGCGAAUCCUAGGGCUAGGGUUUAGGAAUUAUGCGAUUACACGAUUGUGAUCAAUCCGACCGUCCGAUCGACACCAAUACCCUCGGGACAUGUGUCCUAAAUAUAUUAGACCUUCUAACGGCUUCCGUAUCAUCUUGUGAGGUCAUAGACCCGUGGGGUCCCGGGUUGAUCGUUUUGGGACUUUAACGUUUUUUGAGUCCCAAGAUACCGCUAAACUAUCCCACGUGGAAGGAAAGCUUUUAUGGACAUAGGGAUAACUUUAAAUUGACGCACGUACUUUUAGGAGCCGGGAGUAGGGUUUUUAAGUUCAUACUAUAUUAUAUUAAUAGAUUAUUAUGGUCAUUGAAUCAGGCACCCGGGCACCAGUUGACCCGCAGGAGUGACCUUCAAGAGGUCUAGCGAGCUUGGACUAUCACUGAGUGGACUCUUUGUUUUAAUAAAUGAAUUCAAGCAGUUCAGUUUCAGUUAUAAGCUGUUUUAUUCUGUUAAAUAUUUUAUGUUGUAUGCUGCCGAGUAAAAACUUUUUUAAAGAAUAUAGGAAAAGAUAUUCUCGUUAAUGAUCAGAUAAAUGGCAGCAGAAUUUUAAAGGUUACAGAAAGUUAAUUAUUCAACAGUUUUACUUCAGAAACUUUAUAUUUUCUUAAACCACCUUGUACCCAGAUAUUAAAUGUUGCCUUCGGAUUAUAUUGGUUGCCUUCGGUUUAGUCAGCAUGCUUGACAGUUACCCCACGAGUUCCUUGGUACUCGAACUCGUGUGGAGCGAGUAAUGCGGAUCAGGUGGACCACGGUCCCCUGCAUCCUACCAGUUGCAGCUCGGACUGACUUCGUGUCACUGAGAUCUGCGAGUAUGUGUCACCCAUGGUGAUGCAAGGAAUUGACGGAUAUAAGAAAUUGACAGAAAUAAGGGUACACCUAGGUGAUAGUUUUAAACUGUUCUCAAAUGUAUAAUUAUAUACAUGCAUUGAUUUCAAAAAUAAAGAAAAUAAGUUAGUUUGUAUAACUGUUUUUACAGUGGGGUUAGUAUGUUCAUAUGCUAUUUUUCUAAACUUUGUUUUUGAGUCCACUCACCCUUCUUAUUGUUUUGCACCCCCAGGCAGUAGACGUGCACAGGAAUCCACCACCGGGCCAUUUUCCAUCUUCCGCGCCUUUCUUUUGAUGUAGGAUUUUUGUUUUGUAAAAGAAUUGAUUCCUUGUAAAUUCUUAGUAAUUGCUCUGAUGUUUUGCCCUAGACUGAGAAUGGAACUGUUGGAAUGUAUAUAUACGUAUGCUGGCAGUUAGUUGUAUAUAUAUAUAUAUAUAUAUAUACUUGUUUGGCAGGUAAAAAUGUUUUGGUAUUGAGCCAGUUAUAAAGGAAACUCUACCGGUUUUUCAGUAGACGUUAACCUUAUUAAUUUACCAUGUUUUGUAUAGAAGGGCAAAUAGGUCAUUUGUGCCAGACAUUCGCCAGGUGUCGGACACGCACAGGGUCUGGCUCGGAUUCCAAAGCGGAAUUUGGAUCGGGUCCUGUCAAACUGUUUGUGCAGGUGGAUAAAAUAAGGGAUAGUCUGAAUUUGGGUUCAUAUAAUUUUUUUUUUCAAACGAUGGAAUUUGGGUUCAUAUAGUUGUUUCUUAGUAAAAUUGUAGUAAUUGUUUCUCAAACAAGACCAUACUUUUCGUUCCUCAACUCUAAAAAUUGUUAUAAUCGUCCUUCAAUUAGAUCUAUCGUUGCAUCACUCGUCCUUUCCGUCAGUUCUGUUGUUUUUCCUUCAAAAUUAAUGGUAAAUUAGAAAAUUCAUAUCAAAUUUUAUUAGAUAAAUAAACUCAUUCAUAAAAAUGAAAAUAAAAACCAGUCUCCCCACCCCCACCAAGCAACUGAACCAACCACUGGCAUUGCCCCUACCCCUACCCCUACCCCUACCCCCUCCCUCGGAUAAAGACCUCUCUCUCAAUUUCCUGCAAUACAGAACCAAAUGCCACCAAGUCAUAGAAGCUCCAGAAUGCAAGAACAGCCACAAUAUACCAUCAACAAAAUCUACUUUUUUUUUAUCAACACAGAGAGUCAUUGUCCCCUACCUGCCGUUCGGGGUCUACCAAAAAUCACAAACCCACCCCCAAAAAAGAGAGAAAAAAAGAAAAUGGCUUUAUCUCCUUCCUCCUUCCCACUUUCCCUUUCUGUGAGUGCCUGUAAUCUAAUAAUGGCUUCCAUUUCCAAACUCUCCAAUCCAGCACUGCUUCAUACUUAUCGUCCACUUUUUUUUAAUCGAGAGAAGGGGGAGUAGGGGUAGGGUUUCGGGUAGAAGGAGGUGGUGACUAGGUAGUCUUAUAAUACCCAAACCACCAUAUUGUAAUUCAUGAUUCAAUACCUUCUGUCACGUGUCUGUUAGUUAGGGAUGAGCUGGCUGUUAGUUUCUGUUAACUUAAUUUGCUAGUUAGUUAGCUAAAAUAUAUAUAAGUCUUGAACUGUAAGUUCUGGAAUUCAUCUAAUGAGAAAAUCAGUUUCACAAUAUAUCAGUUUCUCUCUGUUUCUGUUUCUUUCUCUCUCGAUACCUCUAUUUCUCAAAGCUUACUUGAGCUCAUCAAUGGCUUCAAUGAAGAAAGCUUUCAUUAUUUGCCCCUAAAAUUUAAUAUGAAUUUCACAAUUUGCCCUUAAUUUUGACAAAAAAUUUAACAGAAUCAAGAGAAGUACGACUAGUGCAAUGCAAUAUCUAAAUAAAGGACGAUGAUGACAAUUUUUGGGGUUGAGGAACGGAAAGUAAAAUGGGGCCAUAUUUGAGGGACCAUUGCUACAAUUUUACCUUGUUUCUUCAAAACUUUGUUUUAAGUACUGUUUUUUAUUUUAUUUUAUUUAGUAAUGAACGAAGUUUUAAGUGUUAUUUGUGAAGAGCCACUGUAUGAAUUUUACAAACAAAUCAAUUAAAUUUCAUAUAGAACCCAAUUUUUUUCAGAAGUAGAAAGUCAAUAUAAUUGUCACAAACUCACCUAUUGGAAUCAGUUUUGCAAAGGAGGGAGUACUAUUAUUACUUCAUCAAAACUGAUCAAAUGGGGUAAGAAAAACAACCCUCGUUGAACAUCAUGGGUUGGGCUUGGGCACGAAAAACCAGAGUGUUUCUGCAACCUGGAAGUUAUUGACUGAAAGGGUGAGACUGAAGGAAAAAAAAAAACUACGAGGACGAAAGUGAAAAUUUGUGUAAUAAGAACGACCAUUAAUCUUGUAAUGGUCAAAUAUUAAAAUUACAAAACCCCCCGGAAUAUUAAAAAAAAUAUUUAAACCAGAUGUAACCUCCAAAUAAACGUAAAAAUACAUAUCAAAUUCACCAGUUGCAAGCAGGGAUCGUAUCAAAUUCACCAGUUACCAGUUGCAAAUUGUCACCAUAGUCAGCCAGCCCUCAUGGAUUUUCUUUCUCAUCUAUACUAGCAAUUGUAGGGUUUUUAUAGAGGUGAAGAGGAAGGCGUGGAGAUAGCAAAGCCUCCAGGGGAUUUGCUUUGGGCAGGGCAAGCCCCAGCCCUUCACGCAUGUCCACUGCCUCCUCACAAACCCUGCUCAUAUCAAAACCCUGAACCAAACGAGCUAGAAUUAAUUGGACCACUUGCAGCCCCAAAACCAUGCCAGGGCACGACCUCCUACCCGAGCUGAACGGAAUAUACUCAAAAUUAUUCUGAUCUUUGAAUUCCACGUCAGCAUGGGUGGUCAUGAACCUCUUGGGUUGGAAUUCACCUGGGUUGGCCCACAUGCGUGGGUCCCGCUGCAGUUUCCAAAUGUUGACUAGUACACGGGUGCCCUUGGGCACAUGGUAGCCAGCCAGAUGGCAAUCCUCCGUGGCUUCACGCAGGCCUGCAAGUGGGCCAGGUGGGUAUAUGCGUAGGGUUUCUUUGAGAAUGGCUUGGAGGUAUUUGAGGUUAGGGAGGUCUGAUUCUUGUACCCAUCUGUCUCUUCCUACGUGGAUGUCCAGUUCUUGUUGGGCAGCUUUCAGGGUUGUUGGGUUGUUCAGUAGUAGGGAGAGUGCCCAUGUUAGAGUGACGGAUGUGCUUUCUGUGCCAGUUAGGAUUAGAACC